UGGGGAAUAUUGGACAAUGGGGGAAACCCUGAUCCAGCCAUGCCGCGUGAGUGACGAAGGCCUUAGGGUUGUAAAGCUCUUUUGGCGGGGACGAUAAUGACGGUACCCGCAGAAUAAGCCCCGGCUAACUUCGUGCCAGCAGCCGCGGUAAUACGAAGGGGGCUAGCGUUGUUCGGAAUCACUGGGCGUAAAGAGCACGUAGGCGGACUUGUUAGUCAGGGGUGAAAUCCCGGGGCUCAACCCCGGAACUGCCCUUGAAACUGCAAGUCUUGAGUCCGAGAGAGGUGAGUGGAAUUCCUAGUGUAGAGGUGAAAUUCGUAGAUAUUAGGAAGAACACCAGUGGCGAAGGCGGCUCACUGGCUCGGUACUGACGCUGAGGUGCGAAAGCGUGGGGAGCAAACAGG
Molecule: ribosomal RNA, 404 nt
Filed under: uncultured bacterium
Lineage: Bacteria
Description: bacterial SSU rRNA
Rfam family: Bacterial small subunit ribosomal RNA
Source: RNAcentral